RNAcentral lists this ribosomal RNA (185 nucleotides) under uncultured bacterium. RNAcentral's name for it is "partial 16S ribosomal RNA". It matches the Rfam family "Bacterial small subunit ribosomal RNA", at positions 1315 to 1500 of the family's 1533-position model. The record is from RNAcentral.
CCUGCAUGAAGUCGGAAUUGCUGUAAUCGCAGAUCAGCAUGCUGCGGUGAAUACGUUCCCGGGCCUUGUACACACCGCCCGUCACACCAUGGGAGUCGGUAACACCCGAAGUCGGUAGCCUAACCGUAAGGAGGGCGCCGCCGAAGGUGGGAUUGAUGACUGGGGUGAAGUCGUAACAAGGUACC